AAGGACUCUCGGCAACGGAUAUCUCGGCUCUUGCAUCGAUGAAGAACGUAGCGAAAUGCGAUACUUGGUGUGAAUUGCAGAAUCCCGUGAACCAUCGAGUCUUUGAACGCAAGUUGCGCCCGAAGCCAUUAGGCUGAGGGCACGCCUGCCUGGGUGUCGCCCAU
This 164-nucleotide ribosomal RNA is filed under the name Crotalaria arenaria. RNAcentral describes it as "5.8S ribosomal RNA". It matches the Rfam family "5.8S ribosomal RNA". From Rfam's summary of the family: 5.8S ribosomal RNA (5.8S rRNA) is a component of the large subunit of the eukaryotic ribosome. It is transcribed by RNA polymerase I as part of the 45S precursor that also contains 18S and 28S rRNA. Functionally, it is thought that 5.8S rRNA may be involved in ribosome translocation. Lineage: Eukaryota; Viridiplantae; Streptophyta; Magnoliopsida; Fabales; Fabaceae. The record is from RNAcentral.